CGAGAGAGUUGCAAAACUCCCUACAACCCUUUGUGAACCUCACCCGUUCCGUAGUGUCUCCGGCAGGUAUCCCCAGAGGAGGGGACUUGUGCCAUCAGGGCGCCUGCCGGAGGGCUCAACACAAACUCUUUUAUGGCGUGUCCGCCACUGCUGUCUGAGGUACUAUAGAAAUAAAUCA
RNAcentral lists this unclassified non-coding RNA (178 nucleotides) under uncultured Sordariomycetes. RNAcentral's name for it is "sequence contains ITS1". The record is from RNAcentral. Lineage: Eukaryota; Fungi; Ascomycota; Sordariomycetes.